UACGGAGGGGGCUAGCGUUGUUCGGAAUUACUGGGCGUAAAGGGCUCGUAGGUGGCCAACUCAGUCGGAUGUGAAAUCCCCAGGCUCAACUUGGGAACUGCAUCCGAUACUGGAUGGCUUGAAUCCGGGAGAGGGAUGCAGAAUUCCAGGUGUAGCGGUGAAAUGCGUAGAUAUCUGGAGGAAUACCGGUGGCGAAGGCGGCAUCCUGGACCGGAAUUGACACUGAGGAGCGAAAGCCAGGGGAGCAAACGGG
This 253-nucleotide ribosomal RNA is filed under the name uncultured bacterium. RNAcentral's name for it is "partial 16S ribosomal RNA". It matches the Rfam family "Bacterial small subunit ribosomal RNA", at positions 524 to 776 of the family's 1533-position model. The record is from RNAcentral.